Molecule: long non-coding RNA, 624 nt
Organism: Strongylocentrotus purpuratus (purple sea urchin)
Lineage: Eukaryota; Metazoa; Echinodermata; Echinoidea; Camarodonta; Strongylocentrotidae
Exons: 3
Source: RefSeq, a predicted model, not a curated record
UGCUCAGUGGCUGCUGGGCUCACGAUCAAUUGGGCAAAAAGAAUUUCCGUUUGUAACCCAUAACCAAAUCCGUCGCUCAUUACUCAGCAAAAAAAAUCGAUAACUUAUCAUGCUAUUAAAUACUAAAUUUUCGUCAUAUAACUUCAAGAAACAAUCAUCGUUUUGGUCAAAUCUGCGCACCUAAUUACCUUUAAUAGGGAUUUGCUUUAUCUAAAGGACCCUAAAUAUUAUCUCAAGGAGUAUGGGAAUGCGAGCAAAGUCCGGAUUGGAUCCAUCACCUCUCUCCUAAUUGUGAUUGUGUAUCAAUAUAAAUUGUGUAUACAAUCGCUAAUAUUUGUGUCUUCUAAACCAAGCGAUCAUUUAAACUGAUUUCUUUCUUGGCAAAGUACCUUUUCCUACUGAACCAUGAGAAUCGGGAUUUCCAUUGCGUUGUUCCUGUCAGCACUGGGCCUGGUCCAGUGUAUAGAUAGCAGGAUACAGACCAUCCCAGACAGGUACAUCGUGGUACUCAAUGAUGGCGAGAUACUGGACCCUCUGCUCACCCGAAUACAGCAGAAUAUGGUUACUCGCUCGGGGAGGUUUUCUGUCUUUAGGAAAUAUUACAAUGCACUGAAUGGGUUCGCU